Molecule: ribosomal RNA, 412 nt
Filed under: Paracoccaceae bacterium
Lineage: Bacteria; Pseudomonadati; Pseudomonadota; Alphaproteobacteria; Rhodobacterales; Paracoccaceae
Description: bacterial SSU rRNA
Rfam family: Bacterial small subunit ribosomal RNA
Source: RNAcentral
GUGCCAGCAGCCGCGGUAAUACGGAGGGGGUUAGCGUUGUUCGGAAUUACUGGGCGUAAAGCGCACGUAGGCGGACUAGUCAGUCAGAGGUGAAAUCCCAGGGCUCAAACCCUGGAACUGCCUUUGAUACUGCUAGUCUUGAGUUCGAGAGAGGUAAGUGGAAUUCCGAGUGUAGAGGUGAAAUUCGUAGAUAUUCGGAGGAACACCAGUGGCGAAGGCGGCUUACUGGCUCGAUACUGACGCUGAGGUGCGAAAGUGUGGGGAGCAAACAGGAUUAGAUACCCUGGUAGUCCACACCGUAAACGAUGAAUGCCAGACGUCGGGUAGCAUGCUAUUCGGUGUCACACCUAACGGAUUAAGCAUUCCGCCUGGGGAGUACGGUCGCAAGAUUAAAACUCAAAGGAAUUGACGG